CAAAACCUCAACCCUCUUUCUCCCUCACGCCGCUCCUCCUUGCUGCUAUCUCUCACGUCGCCAGCCAACCACCUCAUGCACUCCUCCUCCGUCGCGUUGCAGCCUCCCUCGUCGCCACCACCGAGAUGCUGCCACCAUCGACCCACGCAACCACCGCACACCACCAGUCGCGCUGCCGCACUAGCCGCCGCAGCUUCCCAGUCAGGUUGUCGCUUUCCUUCUCCUCCUCUUUGUUUCUUCCUUGCUCCACACACGUCGCCCAACCACUGUAACCAGACGCGACGACCACCGGUGUUGCACCCCUGCGGCACAACCGCCGGCAACCGCAACCCUGCCGCCGCCGUCCCUCCUCCGGUUUGAAGAUGAUGCAUCAUUGGGUUCGGGACUAGAGAGCUUGUAUUUAGGUUCGAUUUGCUAAGUUGACUUUGGUUUGUUGAAUUGGACUUUAAACUUGUUGAACUAGCUACAUUGACUUUAUUUUCGUUGAUUGGUUUUGGAGUUAACUCUGUAGUUGAUUAUUUAUAAACUUAAAGUUAGUUUUAUGUUUUAAGCUGCAAAAUUCUGAAUAAGCCGUUCCGUUUUCACACA
This is a long non-coding RNA of Spinacia oleracea (spinach), 588 nucleotides long. RefSeq lists it as uncharacterized. Lineage: Eukaryota; Viridiplantae; Streptophyta; Magnoliopsida; Caryophyllales; Amaranthaceae. The record is from RefSeq and is a predicted model, not a curated record. The transcript has 3 exons.